This 63-nucleotide transfer RNA is filed under the name Merostenus sp. RNAcentral's name for it is "tRNA-Pro". The record is from RNAcentral. Lineage: Eukaryota; Metazoa; Arthropoda; Insecta; Hymenoptera; Eupelmidae.
CAAAAAGUAGUUUAAUAAAAAUAUUAAUUUUGGAGAUUAAAGAUAAAUUUAAUUUUUUUUUGA